This 254-nucleotide ribosomal RNA is filed under the name uncultured bacterium. RNAcentral describes it as "partial 16S ribosomal RNA". It matches the Rfam family "Bacterial small subunit ribosomal RNA", at positions 524 to 776 of the family's 1533-position model. The record is from RNAcentral.
UACGGGGGGAGCAAGCGUUGUUCGGAUUUACUGGGCGUAAAGGGCGCGUAGGCGGUCGUGACAAGUCACUUGUGAAAUCUCCGGGCUUAACUCGGAACGGUCAAGUGAUACUGUCGGACUAGAGUACAGAAGGGGCAACUGGAAUUCUCGGUGUAGCGGUGAAAUGCGUAGAUAUCGAGAGGAACACCUGCGGCGAAAGCAGGCAUCUGGGCCAUCACUGACGCUGAGCUGCGAAAGCUAGGGGAGCAAACAGG